This 1179-nucleotide long non-coding RNA is filed under the name Monodelphis domestica (gray short-tailed opossum). RNAcentral describes it as "lncRNA (ENSMODG00000038846.1)". The record is from RNAcentral. Lineage: Eukaryota; Metazoa; Chordata; Mammalia; Didelphimorphia; Didelphidae.
GUCUCUUGAGAAGAAUCUCUUGAAGGACAAUCUCUAAGGAAGUCUCUCAAGGAAGGCUGACUCUGGCUGGAACUUCCUCUGGGGAAACUCUGUCCCCUUGAAUCCUCGCUUGAACAGAUCUUAUGAUAACGCUUUCCUGAUUGCAUCAAGGCUCGGAGUACUUCAAUAUUUCCUCAUAGGGUCCACAGCCAUUUAAAAUAGUCCAAGGAUCAUUGAUUUAGAAUAAGAAGAGGCCCUAGAGACAAAUGAGAGGUGGAACCAUUAGCAAAGAAUGGAAGUCAUAAAGAGGUAGGAAAGGAAAAUAUUCCUGAUGAGUGGAAUUGUUCAAAGGUGUUGAGCUCUGGAACAUGCAAUUUUCUCUUCUCUGGAGAUCUUCAAAAAGAGAUUGGAUGUUGGCUCAUAAGCUAGAAAUGGUCCCUUUGCUUAUUUUCAUCAUGAGCACUAUGAGAGUGAAGCCUACCUUUCUGCAAUGUCCACAUGGAUCUGCCUUUUGGGGUCAUGUAGAAGAAAUCUAAUCUCUCUUUGCAUAAAUAGUUUUCCAAAUAUAUGAUUUAAACUCUUCCAUUCCCUUUCUGGUUUCUCUUCCCGAGGCCAAACAUCCUCAGGUCCUUUGCCUUAACUUUAUGUUGUCUGGCUUCCAGUUCUUUUAAACAGUCACUAGGGGAGAACAUUCCAAUUUUCCUAAUUCAUCAGCUGAGUUUUGAAAUGAUUGAUUUGAUGGUUAAUUUCCAAUGGUUAUUAAGGAAAAAUGCUUUAAAAAUCAGAAGCAAGUUUUUUUUUUUCUUUUUAACAAAGAAAUGUUAAUCAGAGAUUUACAGCUGAGCUCUUACAACCCAACAGAUGGUAUUUUGUAGCACAUGCCCAAGACACAUUAUUUUCAUUCUUGGCUGCUCAGAGAAUACAAAAUGUGUCUCCUCUGAAUCCCAAGUCAACCCUCAAUGAAGUCUUCUAACCUUUUGUGUCAUUGGAAGGUUGAGGCAGACAGUGAAGGUGUGCCUUUGUUGGGUUAAGCGUAGGUUUUCCCUGAUUGUCCGACAUGUUUCAUGGUAACCAACCCAACUGGCAUACAUACCCUACUAUCCAAAGAGCUGAGGUUCCAAAUUUCCAAAGGGAAGGGCACUUUUGACCACUGCAUUAUGCACAGUUAAAAUUACAACUGUCUUCUGGGAGUUUCCAUCC